This 821-nucleotide ribosomal RNA is filed under the name Bacteroides sp. RNAcentral's name for it is "bacterial SSU rRNA". It matches the Rfam family "Bacterial small subunit ribosomal RNA", at positions 286 to 1110 of the family's 1533-position model. The record is from RNAcentral. Lineage: Bacteria; Pseudomonadati; Bacteroidota; Bacteroidia; Bacteroidales; Bacteroidaceae.
GGGGUUCUGAGAGGAAGGUCCCCCACAUUGGAACUGAGACACGGUCCAAACUCCUACGGGAGGCAGCAGUGAGGAAUAUUGGUCAAUGGGCGAGAGCCUGAACCAGCCAAGUAGCGUGAAGGAUGACUGCCCUAUGGGUUGUAAACUUCUUUUAUAAAGGAAUAAAGUCGGGUAUGCAUACCCGUUUGCAUGUACUUUAUGAAUAAGGAUCGGCUAACUCCGUGCCAGCAGCCGCGGUAAUACGGAGGAUCCGAGCGUUAUCCGGAUUUAUUGGGUUUAAAGGGAGCGUAGACGGAUGUUUAAGUCAGUUGUGAAAGUUUGCGGCUCAACCGUAAAAUUGCAGUUGAUACUGGAUAUCUUGAGUGCAGUUGAGGCAGGCGGAAUUCGUGGUGUAGCGGUGAAAUGCUUAGAUAUCACGAAGAACUCCGAUUGCGAAGGCAGCCUGCUAAGCUGCAACUGACAUUGAGGCUCGAAAGUGUGGGUAUCAAACAGGAUUAGAUACCCUGGUAGUCCACACGGUAAACGAUGAAUACUCGCUGUUUGCGAUAUACGGCAAGCGGCCAAGCGAAAGCGUUAAGUAUUCCACCUGGGGAGUACGCCGGCAACGGUGAAACUCAAAGGAAUUGACGAGGGCCCGCACAAGCGGAGGAACAUGUGGUUUAAUUCGAUGAUACGCGAGGAACCUUACCCGGGCUUAAAUUGCAAAUGAAUUAUGGGGAAACCCAUACGCCGCAAGGCAUUUGUGAAGGUGCUGCAUGGUUGUCGUCAGCUCGUGCCGUGAGGUGUCGGCUUAAGUGCCAUAACGAGCGCAACCCUUAUCU